RNAcentral lists this unclassified non-coding RNA (360 nucleotides) under Hevea brasiliensis (rubber tree). The record is from RNAcentral. Lineage: Eukaryota; Viridiplantae; Streptophyta; Magnoliopsida; Malpighiales; Euphorbiaceae.
AAAUUAUCUCUAUGUGUUCCUGGUCAUGACUAAAAGAUAUAAAAAUUAACAAGAAGCUUUAACAAUCAUUUCCCAAUCUCAACAGUUUGUACUUCUGGCAUCACCAGUAUCAUAUAUGUGCAGUGGACCCAUGUGCAAUAGAUCAAACCAAACACAUAAUGAAAUUGCACACUAUUCUAUUCACUUGAAUGAUACAUUUAAAGCAUCAAGAGUGAUGCCCUGCUAAUGCUUUGCACGUUGACAGUAUAGAUAUCUUAACUGUCAUUGUUGUUCUUCCACCUCUCUCUCUAACUUUAAUUGAUAAUUCUUGCCACCCGCUGACCAAAAUUGAUUAUCACAGGGCAUAGUUCUUAAACUGAG